AACUUUCGACAACGGAUCUCUUGGUUCUCCCAUCGAUGAAGAACGCAGCGAAAUGCGAUAAGUAAUGUGAAUUGCAGAAUUCAGUGAAUCAUCGAAUCUUUGAACGCACCUUGCGCUCUUGGGUA
This 125-nucleotide ribosomal RNA is filed under the name Oryza sativa Indica Group (long-grained rice). Its description in RNAcentral is "5.8S ribosomal RNA". It matches the Rfam family "5.8S ribosomal RNA", at positions 1 to 125 of the family's 154-position model. Rfam says of the family: 5.8S ribosomal RNA (5.8S rRNA) is a component of the large subunit of the eukaryotic ribosome. It is transcribed by RNA polymerase I as part of the 45S precursor that also contains 18S and 28S rRNA. Functionally, it is thought that 5.8S rRNA may be involved in ribosome translocation. The record is from Rfam by way of RNAcentral. Lineage: Eukaryota; Viridiplantae; Streptophyta; Magnoliopsida; Poales; Poaceae.